AUACAACGAAAUUUUAAAUUAUUGAUAGGAUCGACCAACGUUUUAAAUGCAAUGUAAUAUACAAAAUUUAUUGUAACGAUUGUAAUAAACAACACAUUGGGCAGACCAAACAGAAGCUGAAAGAACGUACAGUCACAUAACACUUAAAUACAGGCCCUGAGUAUGUCUUCAAAUAAAUCGAAAGCAUGGCCGAACUGUAUUUUAAUUAUGAAACACCCCCAACCUUGACCUCCAUCAGUACAUCACUUUGCAGGACUCCAGAGUAAAAUGGGGUAAGCGUUGGAGCAUGACUUUUGAUGUUUUUAUCAUUGUUCAAAGUAACUUGACAGCAGAGUCUUUCUUCAGCAAAACUUCUUACAAGAGGACGGCCAGGUUGGUGGG
Cimex lectularius (bed bug) is the source of this 381-nucleotide long non-coding RNA. RefSeq lists it as uncharacterized. Lineage: Eukaryota; Metazoa; Arthropoda; Insecta; Hemiptera; Cimicidae. The record is from RefSeq and is a predicted model, not a curated record. The transcript has 3 exons.